RNAcentral lists this unclassified non-coding RNA (268 nucleotides) under fungal sp. RNAcentral's name for it is "partial contains 5.8S ribosomal RNA, internal transcribed spacer 2, and large subunit ribosomal RNA". The record is from RNAcentral. Lineage: Eukaryota; Fungi.
CGCACCUUGCACCUUUUGGUAUUCCGAAAGGUAUGCCUGUUUGAGUGUCUUAAACCUCUCACCUCUUGAUGAUUUUGUUAUCGUCCUGAGUGUGGAUUUGGGCGUCUGCCUGGUGAAUAACUAUGGCUCGCCUUAAAUGUCUUCGUGGGUCAAGCCCUUGGUUUAGACGUAAUAAGUUAUUCGUCUGAUCUUUUGGUUUGGUUUGCUUACAACCCUUUAUAUUUUGAAAUGAGACCUCAAAUCAGGUAGGACUACCCGCUGAACUUAA